AACGUAGGAGACAAGCGUUAUCCGGAGUUACUGGGCGUAAAGGGCGUGCAGGCGGUUGACUAAGUUCGUCGUGAAAUCGCUCGGCUUAACCGGGCGGGGUCGAUGAAUACUGGUGAACUAGAGGACGGUAGAGGCGUGUGGAAUUCCGGGUGUAGUGGUGAAAUGCGUAGAUAUCCGGAGGAACACCAGUGGCGAAAGCGACACGCUGGGCCGUACCUGACGCUAAGACGCGACAGCAUGGGGAGCGAACGGG
This 253-nucleotide ribosomal RNA is filed under the name uncultured bacterium. RNAcentral's name for it is "partial 16S ribosomal RNA". It matches the Rfam family "Bacterial small subunit ribosomal RNA", at positions 524 to 776 of the family's 1533-position model. The record is from RNAcentral.